GAUGAACGCUGGCGGCGUGCUUAACACAUGCAAGUCGAACGGACUUUUAAUGAAACCUAGUGAUUUAAAAGUUAGUGGCGGACGGGUGAGUAACGCGUGGGUAACCUGCCGUAUGCUGGGGGACAACAGUUAGAAAUGACUGCUAAUACCGCAUAAGCGCACAGUAUCGCAUGAUACAGUGUGAGAAACUGAGGUGGCAUACGAUGGACCCGCGUCUGAUUAGCUGGUUGGUGAGGUAACGGCUCACCAAGGCGACGAUCAGUAGCCGGCCUGAGAGGGUGAACGGCCACAUUGGGACUGAGACACGGCCCAAACUCCUACGGGAGGCAGCAGUGGGGAAUAUUGCACAAUGGGGGAAACCCUGAUGCAGCGACGCCGCGUGAGUGAAGAAGUAUUUCGGUAUGUAAAAGCUCUAUCAGCAAGGGAACGAAAAAUGACGGUACCUGACUAAGAAGCCCCGGCUAACUACGUG
RNAcentral lists this ribosomal RNA (472 nucleotides) under uncultured bacterium. Its description in RNAcentral is "bacterial SSU rRNA". It matches the Rfam family "Bacterial small subunit ribosomal RNA", at positions 28 to 507 of the family's 1533-position model. The record is from RNAcentral.